CCUACGGGAGGCAGCAGUGAGGAAUAUUGGUCAAUGGGCGCGAGCCUGAACCAGCCAAGUCGCGUGAAGGAUGACUGCCCUACGGGUUGUAAGCUUCUUUUAUAAAGGAAUAAAGUGAGGCACGUGUGCCUUUUUGUAUGUACUUUAUGAAUAAGGAUCGGCUAACUCCGUGCCAGCCGCCGCGGUAAUACGGAGGAUCCGAGCGUUAUCCGGAUUUGUAGGGUUUAAAGGGAGCGUAGAUGGGUUGUUAAGUCAGUUGUGAAAGUUUGCGGCUCAACCGUAAAAUUGCAAUUGAUACUGGCAGUCUUGAGUAUAGUUGAGGUAGGUGGAAUUCGUGGUGUAGCGGUGAAAUGCUUAGAGAUCACGAAGAACUCCGAUUGCGAAGGCAGCUUACUAAACUGCCACUGACAUUGAUGCGCGAAAGUGUGGGUAUCAAACAGGAUUAGAUACCCGUGUAGUC
Molecule: ribosomal RNA, 460 nt
Filed under: uncultured bacterium
Lineage: Bacteria
Description: partial 16S ribosomal RNA
Rfam family: Bacterial small subunit ribosomal RNA
Source: RNAcentral